UGCAGUCGAGCGGUAGCACAGAGAGCUUGCUCUCGGGUGACGAGCGGCGGACGGGUGAGUAAUGUCUGGGAAACUGCCUGAUGGAGGGGGAUAACUACUGGAAACGGUAGCUAAUACCGCAUAAUGUCGCAAGACCAAAGUGGGGGACCUUCGGGCCUCAUGCCAUCAGAUGUGCCCAGAUGGGAUUAGCUAGUAGGUGGGGUAACGGCUCACCUAGGCGACGAUCCCUAGCUGGUCUGAGAGGAUGACCAGCCACACUGGAACUGAGACACGGUCCAGACUCCUACGGGAGGCAGCAGUGGGGAAUAUUGCACAAUGGGCGCAAGCCUGAUGCAGCCAUGCCGCGUGUGUGAAGAAGGCCUUCGGGUUGUAAAGCACUUUCAGCGGGGAGGAAGGCGAUAAGGUUAAUAACCUUGUCGAUUGACGUUACCCGCAGAAGAAGCACCGGCUAACUCCGUGCCAGCAGCCGCGGUAAUACGGAGGGUGCAAGCGUUAAUCGGAAUUACUGGGCGUAAAGCGCACGCAGGCGGUCUGUCAAGUCGGAUGUGAAAUCCCCGGGCUCAACCUGGGAACUGCAUUCGAAACUGGCAGGCUAGAGUCUUGUAGAGGGGGGUAGAAUUCCAGGUGUAGCGGUGAAAUGCGUAGAGAUCUGGAGGAAUACCGGUGGCGAAGGCGGCCCCCUGGACAAAGACUGACGCUCAGGUGCGAAAGCGUGGGGAGCAAACAGGAUUAGAUACCCUGGUAGUCCACGCCGUAAACGAUGUCGAUUUGGAGGUUGUGCCCUUGAGGCGUGGCUUCCGGAGCUAACGCGUUAAAUCGACCGCCUGGGGAGUACGGCCGCAAGGUUAAAACUCAAAUGAAUUGACGGGGGCCCGCACAAGCGGUGGAGCAUGUGGUUUAAUUCGAUGCAACGCGAAGAACCUUACCUGGUCUUGACAUCCACAGAACUUAGCAGAGAUGCUUUGGUGCCUUCGGGAACUGUGAGACAGGUGCUGCAUGGCUGUCGUCA
This 1009-nucleotide ribosomal RNA is filed under the name Klebsiella pneumoniae. RNAcentral's name for it is "bacterial SSU rRNA". It matches the Rfam family "Bacterial small subunit ribosomal RNA", at positions 56 to 1057 of the family's 1533-position model. Lineage: Bacteria; Pseudomonadati; Pseudomonadota; Gammaproteobacteria; Enterobacterales; Enterobacteriaceae. The record is from RNAcentral.